Molecule: non-coding RNA, 159 nt
Filed under: uncultured Ruminococcus sp.
Lineage: Bacteria; Bacillati; Bacillota; Clostridia; Eubacteriales; Oscillospiraceae
Description: Lysine riboswitch
Rfam family: Lysine riboswitch aptamer
About the family: Riboswitches are metabolite binding domains within certain messenger RNAs that serve as precision sensors for their corresponding targets. Allosteric rearrangement of mRNA structure is mediated by ligand binding, and this results in modulation of gene expression.
Source: RNAcentral
AGAUAGAGGCGCGGUAUUUAUCAGUAGUCCACAUACCGGCGCGGAAACGCCGUGGACGAAAGGAAAUGCCGCCGAAGCGCUUGGCGGUUUUCCGGCUGCCAUCUGCUGGGACAGCGCAGAACAUGCGCUGUACUGUCGCUUUUUGCGGAGUGCUAUUCG